This 486-nucleotide long non-coding RNA is filed under the name Homo sapiens (human). RNAcentral's name for it is "non-protein coding lnc-LRRC29-2:1". The record is from RNAcentral. Lineage: Eukaryota; Metazoa; Chordata; Mammalia; Primates; Hominidae.
GGACAGUGAACAUGAACGAGGUUGCAAGUUAGAUGUUAAGUAGAUCCUCUCCCUGUGUUUUCACCUGGGAAUGCUGGGUUGGUAGUAAUCCUCCCCAGAUGUGGAGGACUGAAGAGGGGCUGGCCUUGGGGGGGGUGUGGUUCUGGUCUGCUCAGCGCAUGGACUGUUCCCUGUGUGUCUGUGCGUGCCUGCAAUUGGGGGUGGUGUCCAGGGGCUCAGCAAGGCAUGUACACCUGGGCUGGGGUGUGUCAGACGCUGUCAGUGACAAGCACCUUCCCUCAGAGCCCGGUUCCUGGAGAAUGUGGCGGCAGCAGAAACAGAGAAGCAGGUUGCGCUGGCCCAGGGCCGGGCAGAGACACUUGCCGGGGCCAUGCCCAAUGAGGCGGGUGGACACCCAGAUGCCCGGCAACUCUGGGACUCCCCAGAGACAGCCCCUGCAGCCAGAACACCCCAGAGCCCUGCCCCCUGUGUCCUGCUCCGGGCCCA